AGUUGUAUCCUGGCUCAGGAUGAACGCUGGCGGCAUGUCUAAGGCAUGCAAGUCGUACGCGCUUCGCUUUUGCUCAGCGCGAACAAUUAACUUCUAACUUUUAACUCUUAACUAUUGAUUGACCCAACACGGAUCAGUGGUUAAUUGUUAACUGUAAAUUGUUAACAUGUUCACGGAGCGUAAGCGGAGUGCGUGGCAGACGGGUGCGUAACACAUUGGUAAUCUACCUUCGUCUCGAGUAUAACCCGGAGAAAUCUGGGACAAUCCUCGAUGGUCAUGGGGGGACAUAUGUCAUUCCCAUGUAAAGCUUCGGCGGACGAAGAGGAGCCUAUGGCCCAUCAGUUUGUUGGUAGGGUAACGGCCUACCAAGGCAAUGACGGGUAGCGGGUGUGAGAGCAUGGCCCGCCUCACUGGGACUGAAACACUGCCCAGACUCCUACGGGAGGCUGCAGUCAAGAAUCUUCCUCAAUGCACGAAAGUGUGAAGGAGCAAUGCCGCGUGAUCGAAGAAGCUCUUCGGGGUGUAAAGAUCUUUUAUCAGGGACGAAUUCGUGACGGUACCUGAUGAAUAAGCCACUGCUAACUUCGUGCCAGCAGCAGCGGUAAUACGAAGGUGGCAAGCGUUAUCCGGAAUGAUUGGGCGUAAAGCGUCCGCGGAUUGUUUGAUAAGUCUUUUGUUAAAUCCUGAAGCUCAACUUCAGGGCUGCGAGAGAAACUAUCUGACUAGAGGCCGGAAGAGGCAAGCGGAAUUACUGGUGUAGCGGUAAAAAUGCGUUAAUAUCAGUAAGAACACCCAAAUGCGAANGCAGCUUGCUGGGNACGGAUCUGACAUUAAGGGACGAAAGCGUGGGGGAGCGAAUGGGAUUAGAUACCCC
This 874-nucleotide ribosomal RNA is filed under the name uncultured bacterium. Its description in RNAcentral is "bacterial SSU rRNA". It matches the Rfam family "Bacterial small subunit ribosomal RNA", at positions 10 to 788 of the family's 1533-position model. The record is from RNAcentral.